GACGAACGCUGGCGGCGUGCUUAACACAUGCAAGUCGAACGGAAAGGCCAGUGCUUGCACUGGUACUCGAGUGGCGAACGGGUGAGUAACACGUGGGUGAUCUGCCUUGCACUCUGGGAUAAGCUUGGGAAACUGGGUCUAAUACCGGAUAUGAACUGCCUUUAGUGUGGUGGUUGGAAAGUUUUUUCGGUGCAAGAUGAGCUCGCGGCCUAUCAGCUUGUUGGUGGGGUAAUGGCCUACCAAGGCGUCGACGGGUAGCCGGCCUGAGAGGGUGUACGGCCACAUUGGGACUGAGAUACGGCCCAGACUCCUACGGGAGGCAGCAGUGGGGGAUAUUGCACAAUGGGCGGAAGCCUGAUGCAGCGACGCCGCGUGGGGGAUGACGGCCUUCGGGUUGUAAACUCCUUUCGACAGGGACGAAGCGCAAGUGACGGUACCUGUAUAAGAAGCACCGGCUAACUACGUGCCAGCAGCCGCGGUAAUACGUAGGGUGCGAGCGUUGUCCGGAAUUACUGGGCGUAAAGAGCUCGUAGGUGGUUUGUCGCGUCGUCUGUGAAAUUCCGGGGCUUAACUUCGGGCGUGCAGGCGAUACGGGCAUAACUUGAGUGCUGUAGGGGAGACUGGAAUUCCUGGUGUAGCGGUGAAAUGCGCAGAUAUCAGGAGGAACACCGAUGGCGAAGGCAGGUCUCUGGGCAGUUACUGACGCUGAGGAGCGAAAGCAUGGGUAGCAAACAGG
Molecule: ribosomal RNA, 736 nt
Filed under: uncultured Corynebacterium sp.
Lineage: Bacteria; Bacillati; Actinomycetota; Actinomycetes; Mycobacteriales; Corynebacteriaceae
Description: bacterial SSU rRNA
Rfam family: Bacterial small subunit ribosomal RNA
Source: RNAcentral